Molecule: ribosomal RNA, 242 nt
Filed under: uncultured bacterium
Lineage: Bacteria
Description: partial 16S ribosomal RNA
Rfam family: Bacterial small subunit ribosomal RNA
Source: RNAcentral
AGGGUGCGAGCGUUAAUCGGAAUUACUGGGCGUAAAGCGCGCGUAGGUGGCUUGAUCAGCCGGUUGUGAAAGCCCCGGGCUCAACCUGGGAACGGCAUCCGGAACUGUCAGGCUAGAGUGCAGGAGAGGAAGGUAGAAUUCCCGGUGUAGCGGUGAAAUGCGUAGAGAUCGGGAGGAAUACCAGUGGCGAAGGCGGCCUUCUGGACUGACACUGACACUGAGGUGCGAAAGCGUGGGUAGCA